Aegilops tauschii subsp. strangulata is the source of this 3363-nucleotide non-coding RNA. NCBI's taxonomy places the organism in Eukaryota, Viridiplantae, Streptophyta, Magnoliopsida, Poales, Poaceae. The record is from RefSeq and is a predicted model, not a curated record.
UUUCACCUCUAGCCUACCCCAACUUGUUUGGGACUAAAGGCUUUGUUGUUGUUGUUGUUGUUGUUGUUGUUGUUGUUGUUGUUGUUGUUGUUGUUGCUAAAUUCUGUCAUGUCCCUUUCCUUUGGAUAACAUGGACAUGUGCUGCUUGUUUUCUUGUGAUAAUGCUGAUCCAAUUGACUAGCCCAACUCUUAUGCUCUGACAUUUGUUAAUUCCCAGUUAGUUUGCCUGAAAAUUUAUUGUUUGUCAUGUUUAAUUUUGUGGCAUCAACUCGGUAUUGUGAUUAAUGACCUAGUAUUUGUUUAGUGUAGACAGUUGACUUCUUUUUUCUAAUUUUUAGUGAUAUGCGUGUUUUGUUAUGUCUUAUGUGGAUAUCAUAUUCUUUUUUUGUAUUACUAAUGUCCAGUCAAUGGAAAAUGCUUUUCUUGCUUUGCCUAGACUUUGUGACAGUUAACUUAUAGUGUGCGGUCAUUGAUCAUUGAGCUUCUGACACCCUAUUCCAUAAAAUUUUGUAGUAAUGUUUGCUGGAUCAUUGAGUAGUUAAUAUUGAUUCUAAGUUUGGUGGAUCAUUCAACUUCUGCGUGCACUUCGGUUAUCUGAGAGACACUCACGAUCCUGUGUUUCGUGUUCGUGGCGGUGCGAUGAACGAUUACAUUUCGUGUUUCUGUGUUUCAUGUUCGCCAUUAGGUUUUGAAUUUGGAUUACGGAGAUGGACAGAGGCCAAAGCAUGGUCAGUUUAUCGUGUUCAUUCAGAUCGGUUUCUCGGUUCCGUCGCUGCAUUGUUCGUCGGCGAUUUCCAGACCUCAAACGCAUGUGCCCUUGUGAUACUCUGGUUUGGCUCGCUGGUCGUUAUGGUUGUUCGUUACGGUUGUUCUUAUGUUCUUGAAUUACCCUUCUUAUAAGCAGAGAUGGGGUGAUUCACUAUGGUCGUUCUGAUGGUUGCUUGUUUAGUGUUCUUUCCAAUUGGGUUCUUCUUGCCAUGCUUUGCUUAUGUUCCGAAUGUCUGUCUUUCCAUAUAUGGGGAUGCGUCCUGGGUGCAAACCGUGUAGGCGUGUGUUUUAUACUAGCUAUGGUGUGUUUUAUACUAUCUGAUGAGGAAGGUGGAAAUAUUGAUAUCACUUCUGUGUUAGUAUACUUGAUAUGGUGUGUUUUAUUCAAGUUAUUAACCACGUCUUUUACAAAUUUUCCUUGAGAUACAUGUUUAUAUGGCAGGAGUGAUUGUCUUGAUGACUAAUCAUUUAUGCUAACUUGGUAUUGGUAGUGCCUGAUCAUAGGUAACAGACCAGUACUUGUUUAGUGCAGACAACUGACUAUUCUUUUUUCUGAACUUUUUUGUGAUAUGUGUGUUAUGUGGAUAUCAUAUUCUAAUGCUUUUCUAAGUAUUUAAGGUACAGACUUGCGGAUCUGGACAUGUCACAUUUGCUCUUUAUUGUGUUGCUAAGGACACUUAACGGCUUGGCUGGGCCACUGCACGGCCUGGCUAAUCAGGUACACUUGAUUUUAUGUGUAGUUGAUGUUCUCUGCCACAUCAUGCUCAACUUGUACUUGCCAAAUGGAUCUCCUGGAACAAAUUGUUCGUAAUAAAUGAACAAAUUGCAGAACUUGUGGCUGUGCUAUUUACCCACUUGCUUUUGCACAUGAUGUUAAGAAGAAGAAAAGCAUACACCCUGUUAUUUUAAAAUGCUGCGUUUACUGUUUUGAUGUGCAUAAACUGAGAAUAGUCACCAUAUACUGGAGGAAGUGUAGCUAUGGAUCAGAUCUGUAAUGGAAGAGACUGGGAGUAACAUUACAAUCGACCAACUUAAAGAAUAUGUAUGGAAGACACUGAAGAGUGGAAAGGUUGUAGUGGUUAGAGAGAAGUUUCCAGAAUUGUAUGAAUCUGAACAACAAUGGUUGAGAGCAGCACAAAUGCUUAGUGGCAUUGACUUGGACUCAGGAAUCAGGAUGCUUGAUGACACAAACAAAUUAUCCAAGUGCGUCCAGAUUGCACGACUCUAUUUGGAGUAUGAUGAUGCAGUGAAUGCUGAAGCUUUUAUCAACAAAGACUCGUUUUUGGUCACAAACAGCAACCAGGAAGUUCUGAACUUACAAUACAAGGUCUGCUAUGUGAGAAUUUUAGAUCUAAAGCGUAAAUUCUUGGAAGCUGCACUUCGGUACUAUGGUAUCUCUCAAAUUUUGAGCAACGCCAAAUUGGGGACAAGUAAGGCUUAGUCCAAUCAGGUUGUUCCUGGCUAUGGUCAUGGAGUUCUACGUAAUACAGACCCAAGAUACUCGUGCCAAAGGGAGUUCACAUUGAAAUAUUUACCCGAGGACCCACUUUUCCAAUUGGAACGAAGAUCUGAAAUUCUGAAUCACCCUCACCCCUCUAGAGAAAUCAGUUUACUCAUUCAAGUUCUGGAAUUUCUUUAUAGUUUUCUGGGUUUACUUCGGUCUUGCAUGUAUUAGCUUUCUCUUUGUGCCCCUAUCUAUGCCUGUUUCUUGUGUGCAAGCUCUGCAUUCUGUGUGUGUGACUGUGUGUGGCUUGAUUAUGUGUGCUCUGCAUUCUGUGUGUGUGACUGUGUGGCUUGACUCUGUGUGUGUGUGGCUUGACUAUGUGUGUGGCUUGAUUGUGUGUGUGGCUUGAUUGUGUGUGUGGGCUUGACUGUGUGUGUGAGAUUGUGUGUAGCUUGAUGGUGAAUAUGUGUGUGGCUUGACUCUGUGUGUGUGUGGCUUGACUGUGUGACUGUGUGAAUAUUGCAUUUUCUUGAUGGCGUGGCUUGUAUAACUUGUGUUUUAUAUGUCACGAUUGAUUGUUGUUUGUUGAAUGUGAACAGACCUUACACUAUUCUUUUUUCUAAACUUCUUUGUGAUCAUGUCUUAUGUGGAUAUCAUACUCUUUUUUGUACUAUUGUCAAGAAUAACGCUUUUCUAAGUAUUUAAGGUACAGCCAUGUGGAUCUGGACAUGUCACAUUAGCUCUUUAUUGUGUUGCUAAGGACACUGAUGGGUUGGGUUUGCAUACAAUGCAGUAUGGACCGACAAAAUGGUCUCAUUGCAAGGUGGGUGUAUAGGCAAGCAAUGUCAAGAGAAGAGAGAAGCUUGGACUAUUGAGGAGGAACAUGCAGUGGUUAAUGCCCAUCGGGUAUAUGGGAAUAAAUGGGCAGAAAUAGCAAAAGUUCUUCCUAGAAGGUUCUUCUCACCUAUAGCUAAAGUCAAAGACGACAAACCAAGUGAAUUAUUGGAGUUACAAGAUACACAGAAUCAUCGGUCAUUUAAAUCUUCUUUUCUAAUAUAACUGUUGGUGUUGCUCAUGACGCUAGCCGUGCUUGGAAGCGAUGAGAGGCAACCACUGUUGUCAACUUGAAACGUAUAAUUUUUUAGGUAUGA